RNAcentral lists this long non-coding RNA (5779 nucleotides) under Sarcophilus harrisii (Tasmanian devil). RNAcentral's name for it is "lncRNA (ENSSHAG00000031180.1)". The record is from RNAcentral. Lineage: Eukaryota; Metazoa; Chordata; Mammalia; Dasyuromorphia; Dasyuridae.
AAAAUCCUUUGAUUUUUUUCAAAGUAUGCUUCACUCUGAAUUCAGACUCUUGCUCCAUCAGUUCUUCCUCUGGAGAUGGAUAACAUUUUCCAUCAUGAAUUUUUUGGAAUUGUUUUGGAUCGUUAUAUUGCUGAGAGUAGCUAAACUAUUCCCAGCUGAUCAUCACACAAUCUUGCUGUACGAAGUUCUCCUAUUUCUCUGCUCAAUUCACUGUGCAUCAGUUCACAUAGGUCUUCCCAGAUUUUUCUGAAGGUAUCCUGCUCAUCAUUUCUCAUGGCACGGUAAUAGUCCAUCACAAUCGUAUGCCACAGCUUGUUCAGCCAUUCCCCAGUCACUGGGAGGUCUCUUGAUUUUCAAUUCUUUUGACACCAUAAAGAGAGUUGCUAUGAGCUUUUUUAUACUUUGCUCAAAUCUUCGCGGCUCAUUGUUUAGGUUUUCAUGGCCUAAAAAGAGUAUAAAUAGCUUUCUGAGGGUCUUCCCCUCCCAUAUUGAUAUUGUUGGGAUGGCAAAUUAGGCCUUCUUUUGUCUCACUGCUUAUCCAGUCCUUAACCAUUGAGUAGAAGUAGCCUCAGACAAACUAUGAUGUGAGAAGACUUGAUUUAGAAAGGCCACGAUCAUCCACCAUAGUUCUGGCUAUCUCCAGUGUCUUGAUUUUUGUUUUAUCACUGGACUUCAAAGACUGGAGGAGUCAGCCUGAGGACUACUGCUCAAUCUCACUUCAAUCCAAUUCACACACAAGUUCAGACAUCACCCUGGUAAUAUCCUUUGGUUUUUUUCCCCGGAAUGAACAAACAACUGCAACAUUUUAUUUAAAACUUUUCGCAACAAUAUCCAUUAGGAAAAUUGCUCUGUAGUUUUCUCUCUGUAUUUUCCCCCUUCCUGGUUUAGAAAUAAGUAACAUUUGUAUCUUAGACUCCUUUGCCUAUUUUUCCAGACAGUUUAGAAAUCAGUAACAUAUUUGUAUCUUAGACUCCUUUGCCUAUUUUUCCAGACAGUUUAUAGCGUAGUAGGAUUGUUCUUUAAGUGUUUAGUAGAAUUUGCUUGUGAAUCCAUCUGGUCCUGGGUAUUUUUUCUUAAAGAGCUCAUUUAUGGCUUGUUCUAUUUCUUUCUCUAAGAUAGGAUUAUUUAGGUAUUUUCUCUUCUUUUUCUAUUUUUUUUCUAUUUCCUCUUCUGUCAAUCUGGGCAACUUAAGUUUUCGUAAAUAUUCAUCUACUUAGAUUGUCAGAUUUCUUGACAAAAUCUUUUGAACAGAAUAUCCCUGAUGAUUGCUUUAAUUUUACCUUCAUUGGUGGUGAAUUCAUCCGUUUCCUUUUUAUUACUAGUAACUUGGGUUUUUUCUUUCUUUUUUUAAAAUUAACUAAUGAUUUGUCUAUUUUAUUGGGGAACUUUCCCAUAAAACCAACUUCUAGUUUUCUUAAUUAGUUCAGUGGAUUGUUUUGUUUUGUUUUCAAAUUUAUUAAUCUUGAUAUGAUCGUAAUCACCAGGCUACCUGGUCCAGUAAAUAAUCGCCUUAGGAAUACAGGCCUUGGGAAUGAUAUAGUCUAGGUUCCAAGUUAUCCGAUUUAAGAAUACUGUAUUUGCCUUUAGAUAAUUUUGUCUUAGUUUACAUUUUAUUACCAGCUAUAUCGGGGUGCCUGGAGUGAGAUGCCUAGGCUAACCACUCCCCAACUUUACCUCUAAGAUCAGCGACAUAAAGCACCUGGUUUACUUUUCCUAUAAAAGUCCCUCCUUAUCCCCCCAUUUCUUUGCUAAUUCCCUCUUGGAGCUUAUUCUACCAUCAGUGGUGUUACAAUCUUUGCCUCUUAAUUUGGAGGUGAUUCUUUUGAGUUAUCUCAUGACACCGGCCCAGCACUCCGAUAUUGUGGAGUGCUCCUGCACCCCAACAUUUGGUGGCCCAUAAGGGGAAAAGUCUAGCUUUCUUUGCCUCCUCCACUUUUUCUUUUCCUCCUUCUAUCCUAUAGCUAGGACUAGCAUCCAAGAAGACUUAUUGAGGUCAUCAGUAAGUUUUAUGCUCAGCAUGCUUUCCUUGGUUAGGGAUACCUGAUCUUAGGGGUACUUUUGGUUUGGGCACAUUUGCCACUGUUCACCUUCCCUGGGAAACCAAGGGAGAUGAGUUGCUAUAGGAAUAGAAACUCUUUAGGGCUUGUGGCAAAAAUGGGACAGUCCAUUCCCAUCCCUAAAAAAGCAGAGACAAAUUUGGCCUAUACGAUCUCAAAAAGACAAGGCUCAUUUUCUUUUGUAACACUGCCUGGCCUCAGUCUACCCUGGAGGAUCGGGAGAAAAUGGCCUGUCAAAAGGUUUCUCAUGUUUUUCUUUUUAAAUUGGUAUUUUAAUUGAAUGUUUUGUUGUUCUGUCUACGUCUGUGUCUCUGUGUUUGCAGAGGUCUUUGUCAUGUUUGUGCUGUGAGAUAGAUUCUGUUACCUUGAAAGAUUUCAAAUGAAGCCAAUGAAAGGGAGAAAAAACUUCUAAGGGCUACACUUAGAACACUGGGAAAAAUUUAUUAACCUUACUAACUUCUCCCAAAAAAGAAAAAGUCUUCUGUGGUCCCAACAGUAGCAAAGUUGAGGCGACAGAAAUAAAGCUCUAUAAUUAAAGUUGGAGGGCCGUACAUCUUAGCAAAUAUUGGAGGUUUUGCGAUUAAGGAAACUGACAAUUAGAAACUUUAAGAUUACGGGAAAGAAUUCCUUUGACUAUGGGAUGAUUCCAGGAAUUCACCUCCUUCUGAAACAUCUUAAUAAAAUUUGAGGUACCGUUCUGUACCAUUUUUCUUAAGGAAAAAUAAGGAUUAGAUCUUGCAAAAGUUGAAAAAGAUUUGAAAAGAAACUGACCAAAUUAAAAUCAUUACAGCCCAUGUCCCUCUCUUAAACCCUCUCAUCUCUUACUCGAUUAGGAAAAGAGAAUGCUGGAGAAUUGGAGAGAAACUUAAAUUAUGCCUCACCUGGUAGAAACGAGGGAGGCAGUAACCACAACAGGGCCUCACGCUUCCUGCCCUAGUAGCUCCCCAACUCCAGCACCUGCAACUGGGCAGGAAGUCGGGUCGGAUCUCACGGUCAGCAUUCUCUGAUCCCCGACACCUGGAACUACCGCCAAAGGGAGAUUCUGGCACCGCCCACCGCAGCCCUCAGCAGGUUCCACCCAGCUGCUGUUUGGGAGAAUCCAGGUAUUCCUGGCAGCACCUAGUGUGUGUGUGAGGUGGGGGAGCCAGCCAGUCUGUCCUUGGUAAGGCCAUCCCUCCAUGUUGCAGUGAUUUAUUAGCUAUGUUAUCUCUUAUUUGCCCUAGUACGAAAUCAGGAUUUGAAAAAAGAAACAGAACAAAAAGGAGGGCAAAUAUGGUUUUAAUUUUGAAAGAAAUUUUUUAAAAAGUAUUAAGUAGUGAAUCAUGUCUUCUGUAAUCUAAUAAUGGGGUUUCUGCGUAGCUGGAAGUCCAGCUACUGUUCCAGCAGGAACAUAAGUCACUUUGUUCUGUAAGGGGAUAAUAACUGAACCCCACGUCCCAGGGUUUUUGUGAGGUUCACAUGACUGUAAAGUGCUUGCCCGUGCAAGUGCUCUAUGAAUGUUAACUGUUUUCAUUAUGUCUUUUAUUUGAUGUGAUUGCUUCAUACUUGAUAACUUUAUGUGGGUUUUUAGAUGUGACCAACAUAUAUUACCAGUGUUGAGAUAAAUGAUUUUCUGUGUGAGGUAAUUUGGAAGUACAUUCAAGUAAAUGAAGGUUGGUGAUUAAUGGAAUCCCAACCUGGGUUCCCGAGGCAUAGGAAGAGAUAGGGCAUAGAGGAAAGAGAGUCUCUUUCUCCUUCUCCUCCUCUCUCCCCCUCUGACUGCAGCAGGGGCUGGUGGACAGGAAAGAGAAAGAAAAUCAAGAGGCAGAUUUAGGGGGCUAUCGGUGAAAAUUCCAGGGUGAAGACCUCUCUCUGAAAUAAGAACUGAUACUUAAGCCCUUUCCUGGCUCACAAAAAAAAAAGAGAGAGAGAGAGAGAGAAAAUGCCUGUGUGAAUUGGCAAACGGCCAAAAGGUGUGAUCAGAACAUUUAGCUAUAAUUUAGGGAUCUUACAAAUUAAAGUACUGGUCAAUUUUAAAAUAAUUUUUUACAUUAGUAUGUGUGUUAAAAGUCAAAACUUGAUUGUAAAUGAUAAGAUCCCUCCCCAGUUUUGUCAUAGAUUACAAUUUAUCUGAAUUUUAAGAAUCAUUUUGUUUUCUUCCUUAAAAAAAAAAAAAAGGAAAACAAUUAAGGGAACAGGAGAGGGAAGCCCAAUCCCUCCUGAGAACUUCCAAAGUUACAAUAGCUUGGGAAAAAGAAGAAAGCCCCCCAAUUGAAUCUUUGAGAUUGUAGAACCCAGAUUUGACUCGUCACCCAGCAACUUGAAUGUUACGAAUUGUAUAAUUAAAUGAAAGUGGAAAAUUUGUUUAAAACCUGUUGUGUUAUUUUGUCAACCCUGUUAAUCUGUUUUGUAAAUGCAAUUUAGGAAAUUGGAUAGUUUCACCUUUGCUUGUAAGUUUAGAGUAAGUUACUGCUAAGACAAUAUAUUUAUCACUUAAGAAAAUUAUAAGAUUGUUAAUUAAGUUACUUGGAUUUGUUGUAAUAAUGUAAAAUCUAAUAUUGGUGAUUGCUUCUCAUUCAAAGCACUUCAACUUGGGGUACAAAAGUCUACUGAAGAAUUAGUCUAACCUCCACACCCCCUCACAGGGUAAGGGAAGUGUCAAAGAGCACAAGCCAUAGCAGCUGUCAUGGGUGUGCAAGAACAGCAGGUUCAGACCCCUUCUCUGGGUUCCCUGUUGAUUUUCCUUAAUUUAUAAACUUGCAGAUUUCUUUAAAGCAUCAUGUGAGUGAGGGUCAUCAACCCUGAGAAAUGAGAUAGUUAAGGUUAUGGGGUUCCUAAACAGUGAGCUUGGCUUGAUAUAAAGAUUUGCAAAUGUCUUUGUUUUAUGGAAGAGAUUUCUAAUGAUUGGUCUUCACCAGGAUUAGUUUAAACUCUAGGAGAAGAAGAAAAGAAAAAUAAAGAUGUUAAGUGAAAUCUCUUAUGUGUGUGAGACCUGGUAAACUUUGUUAUAGUGCUAAGGCUAAUUUAAUCAGUUGUAUUGCGUCACCAUAAAGAUGUUCUUAUUGUUUAAAGGGAUUCUGGGAGUAGUAGUGUAUGUUUAUGUUCCUUUGAACAUAGUUAAUAAGUAAACAUUUGGAGUUUUUUUUUUUUUUAAGACGAUUUAUAAUUUUUACAUUUCUAUAUCCCAAGUCUGGUUGUUAUUGAGUAUCAUUUGUAUAAUGUUGAAUUUAAAAUCAUUUACUUAGCUUCAAGAUAAGUUGUGAAUUUUCUGGGAUGAAUCUCUUACUGCCAAUGCUUAUUAUUUAGGGGCAUGUGAUCCUUGAGAGCUGAACCCACCUGAAGUUCUGACUGAUGAGACUUGCUAUUUGAAAUAAAAUUUCUCGGGAUCGUAACUGAUAUUGUUUUUCUUUGUUUUUGUGAGGUGAUUGGGAUUAAGUGACUUGCCCAGGGUCACACAACCAGCAAGUGUCUGAGACCGGAUUUGAAUUCGGGUCCUCCUGACUCCAGGGCCGGUGCUCUAUCCACUAUGCCAACUAGCUGUCUCACUGAUAUUGUUUUGAGUUUUGAAAUCAGGAAAUUUCUAUAUUCAGAGCCAAGUGGUCAGUACAAAGCAUGGGUACAAGCAAGUAUGUAAGAUCUUGCUAUUUUCAAUCUGAAAAUAUGUGGUCAUUAUAUGCUAAACAGUCGGGUAAAUGACCUAGUCAUCUACCUGUUAAUAGAUUUAUAUUUGUAUGAAAUAAGGU